RNAcentral lists this ribosomal RNA (492 nucleotides) under uncultured bacterium. Its description in RNAcentral is "partial 16S ribosomal RNA". It matches the Rfam family "Bacterial small subunit ribosomal RNA", at positions 28 to 507 of the family's 1533-position model. The record is from RNAcentral.
GACGAACGCUGGCGGCGUGCUUAACACAUGCAAGUCGAACGGAAAGGCCCCCACUUUUUUGGUGGGGGUGCUCGAGUGGCGAACGGGUGAGUAACACGUGGGUGAUCUGCCCUGUACUUCGGGAUAAGCUUGGGAAACUGGGUCUAAUACCGGAUAGGACCAUGGUUUAGUGUCUCAUGGUGGAAAAAUUAUUGUUUUGGUGCAGGAAGAGCUCGCGGCCUAUCAGCUUGUUGGUGGGGUAAUGGCCUACCAAGGCGUCGACGGGUAGCCGGCCUGAGAGGGUGGACGGCCACAUUGGGACUGAGAUACGGCCCAGACUCCUACGGGAGGCAGCAGUGGGGAAUAUUGCACAAUGGGCGCAAGCCUGAUGCAGCGACGCCGCGUGGGGGAUGACGGCCUUCGGGUUGUAAACUCCUUUCGUUAGGGACGAAGCCGCACCUUUUUUGGGUGUGGUGACGGUACCUUUGUUAAGAAGCACCGGCUAACUACGUG